This 75-nucleotide transfer RNA is filed under the name Chlamydiales bacterium. RNAcentral's name for it is "tRNA-Glu". It matches the Rfam family "tRNA". Rfam says of the family: Transfer RNA (tRNA) molecules are approximately 80 nucleotides in length. Their secondary structure includes four short double-helical elements and three loops (D, anti-codon, and T loops). The record is from RNAcentral. Lineage: Bacteria; Pseudomonadati; Chlamydiota; Chlamydiia; Chlamydiales.
GGCCCCAUCGUCUAGCCCGGCCUAGGAUACCAGGUUUUCAUCCUGAUGACAGGGGUUCGAAUCCCCUUGGGGUCA